Molecule: long non-coding RNA, 612 nt
Filed under: Homo sapiens (human)
Lineage: Eukaryota; Metazoa; Chordata; Mammalia; Primates; Hominidae
Description: non-protein coding lnc-KCNMB2-14:3
Source: RNAcentral
GGGUGUGGGUGAAGGUGGAAGUGGGUCGGAAGAGGCUGCGGGCUCCACUUUGCCAGGAGUGUAGGGGGAAGGGCUGAGUUGAGGAAACAAUGGGUCUAGCACUUCUGCUGACCUUGUUUUCAGAAACAACCACAGGGCCUCUGGCCCCAGUGGAACUUGACUCAUAAAGGCGAGAGACUUGACUAUUGAAAAAGGUCUCCUAUGAAAUCUGAAUUUCACUUAAUCCUCAGAACAACUGUUGAGGGGGUUGUUACUACUCCCAUUUUAAGACGCGGGCUGUAGAGAGGGUAACCACCCUGUCCACAUUCACACAGCGAACACGUGGUGGGGCAGGGCUCAAGUCCAGGCGAUUCCAAAGUCCCCCCGUGCUGUUUGCGCCACGCGGUGCUCCCACCAAGCCCACUCCGCGGGGAGAAAAACCAUAGGCCUCGGAGGAGGAGCGGCUCCUCGCAGUGGGGUGGGGCAGAGGCCAGCAUGAGGCCUUGUUCACUGGAGGAUUCCACAGGCCUGGAACGGAAAGAAUGAGAGCUCUGCAGGCAGGCAGAGCCCAGGGCGCCCAGUGCCCCCAGGCUGCGACAGCCAAGUCGGUGGGCGCGCAUGGCGGGGCUUGAA